This is a non-coding RNA of Caenorhabditis elegans, 351 nucleotides long. Lineage: Eukaryota; Metazoa; Nematoda; Chromadorea; Rhabditida; Rhabditidae. The record is from Ensembl.
GACAUGGGAACAUCUGCCUUUUGUAGACAAUUCAGGCAGUGUCAUGUUGUUUUCUGAAUUGGAUGUGUCAGUUCCAAUUGUUACCCGUGUGCGUGUCAAGGGUACUUGUUAGUUGUUGAUAGUUUACAAGUAAUUAUCGCCGAAUAUUGAGGAUUAGCUGAGUACAAGAACUUGGAAAACAAAAGUAUUGAAGUUGUGAAAUAGGUAGGUACGUCUUCACUACCUUUCUACGUGCCUCCCAGGCGUAGGCAGAAGACAGGCAGUUUUUCCCUAGGAUUACCCUGUCACGUUUUUCUGUUUAGAGGUGUCUGUUGCCUAAUCCAUUUCAAAAUUUUAGGUGUCUGGUUGUCA